CCAUGCAGUGAGGCCUCGGCUGGCUCGCUGGGGCACAGGCCGGCCUCUUCCCUCGGCUACAGGCGCCACCGCGCAGCCCACGGAGGACAACGCCACUAGCU
This is a long non-coding RNA of Ochotona curzoniae (black-lipped pika), 101 nucleotides long. RefSeq lists it as uncharacterized. The transcript is spliced from 3 exons. The record is from RefSeq and is a predicted model, not a curated record. NCBI's taxonomy places the organism in Eukaryota, Metazoa, Chordata, Mammalia, Lagomorpha, Ochotonidae.